This 254-nucleotide ribosomal RNA is filed under the name uncultured bacterium. RNAcentral's name for it is "partial 16S ribosomal RNA". It matches the Rfam family "Bacterial small subunit ribosomal RNA", at positions 524 to 776 of the family's 1533-position model. The record is from RNAcentral.
UACGUAGGGGGCGAGCGUUGUCCGGAUUUAUUGGGCGUAAAGAGCUCGUAGGCGGUUCGGUAAGUCGAAUGUGAAAUCUCCACGCUCAACGUGGAGGGGUCAUUCGAAACUGCCGUGACUUGAGUACGGUAGGGGAGUGUGGAAUUCCCGGUGUAGCGGUGAAAUGCGCAGAUAUCAGGAGGAACACCGGUGGCGAAGGCGGGUCUCUGGGCCGUAACUGACGCUGAGGAGCGAAAGCAUGGGGAGCGAACAGG